This 278-nucleotide unclassified non-coding RNA is filed under the name Hevea brasiliensis (rubber tree). Lineage: Eukaryota; Viridiplantae; Streptophyta; Magnoliopsida; Malpighiales; Euphorbiaceae. The record is from RNAcentral.
UAUUGUGUCUAUGAUGCCAAUUAUUCAUUGACAAAUAUAUUGCUUUCCUGUUUCAUUUGAAUUUGUAAAAGUAUUGCUUUCAAUUUUUCAGGUUAUAAGAUAGUAUGCGAAAUAUUUUAGGUACCCUGUUCAAUUUUCUAUCUUUAGAUGAUAAAAUGAGAUUUAAUUCAAUCUUUUCACAGGUUUUUAAAGAAGAUUCUUACUCACUUUGAUUUAAUUGGCUUCACUUGUAUCUUGCUGUAUAUGUACAUUGAUAUUAUUUUUGGCAUAUAAAUGUG